CCAGCGGAACUUUACAUGCGGAACCGUGAUAAGGGGACACCGAGUGCCAGCGUCAUACGCUGGCUGUCCAGGUGUGUAAAAUACACCUGUUAGCAAGGGCCGGGCAAGACCGGUGCCAGCCGCCGCGGUAACACCGGCGGCCCGAGUGGUGAUCGUGAUUAUUGGGUCUAAAGGGUCCGUAGCCGGUUUGGUCAGUCCUCCGGGAAAUCUGAUAGCUUAACUAUUAGGCUUUCGGGGGAUACUGCCAGGCUUGGAACCGGGAGAGGUAAGAGGUACUACAGGGGUAGGAGUGAAAUCUUGUAAUCCCUGUGGGACCACCUGUGGCGAAGGCGUCUUACCAGAACGGGUUCGACGGUGAGGGACGAAAGCUGGGGGCACGAACCGGAUUAGAUACCCGGGUAGUCCCAGCCGUAAACGAUGCUCGCUAGGUGUCAGGCAUGGCGCGACCGUGUCUGGUGCCGCAGGGAAGCCGUGAAGCGAGCCACCYGGGAAGUACGGCCGCAAGGCUGAAACUAAAGGAAUUGGCGGGGAGCACAACAACGGUGGAGCUUGCGGUUAUUGG
Molecule: ribosomal RNA, 562 nt
Filed under: bacterium enrichment culture clone 790Msarc.fa
Lineage: Bacteria
Description: bacterial SSU rRNA
Rfam family: Archaeal small subunit ribosomal RNA
Source: RNAcentral